AUUUAAUUUAAAAAAAAAUUAAAAUUAAAAAAAUCAUAAUGCGUCUCUGGUAUUGUUCAGGGGGCCGGGCCAAAUGUGGAGGCGGGCCGUACCCGGCCCGCGGGCCUUAGUUUGGGGACCACUGCUCUAAGGUCUUACCUGGAGGAAUGAAACUCCAGACUGCAGGAAGAGGGAAUGAAAAUCAAAAGCGUUGGCACGCAUGAAUCAGGAUCAGAUAUUUUUUUAUCUAAUGUAUACAGUCAAUGGAUUAUUCGUGUUUUUUUUCGCCAGAGUUGCUUGCGUACGUGGAGAAAUAAACCAGACACUGAAACUAUUGCUAAAUAAUGUGGACAUACAUAUCCUGUUUAAACAGCCCAAUUGGUUAACAUGGGUCCAAUUUUCUUAAAUGAUUAACUUUCAAAGGUAGGUCAUAGUGUCCAAGAGUGCUAUAUUUGCAUUUUUUUUCAAAUGGAACCCCAUAGUAAUAAUCUCAAAAAAUGUCAAUGUCUUUGGUAGGUUAGGGCAGCAUAUUUGUUUGCCUAUUUCUGUCCUAACCUUGGAGACCAAGGCGAUAUUGAUUUAGUAUUUUUACACAUAUGUGUAUGUCUGUAACCAGCUGAAAAGAGAGCUUUAAAACUAAAAGCUAACCAUUGUGAAAGUCUGCAGGCCAACAGAGUUUCUCAUUUAGCAGCUGACACAUACAGUGGUGUCUGACAUUUUCACAGCCAGUAAUGCACUGGUCAGGUGGAUUCUUAUGUAGAGGAUUCCCCUCUCAUUCGCACCACACAUAAAAAACAUCACCCGCACCGCCUUAUUUCAUCUUCGGAACAUCUCCAGACUCCGCUCAUCUCUGUCCCAACCCAGCACUGAAAUCCUGGUCCACUCAUUCGUCACAUCCCGGAUUGAUUACUGCAAUGCACUUCUGACUGGCCUUCCCAUCAAGCUCCUCAAUAGACUGCAAAUAAUCCAGAACUCUGCUGCCCGGAUCAUCACCCGCACCAACUCAUCCGACCACAUCACCCCCAUUCUCACUCAGCUACACUGGCUUCCUGAGUACACCCCCUCCUGCACCCUCUGCUCUUCGUCCGUAGGACUUCUCACCGUCCCAAGCUAUCGCCUCAAAACCAUGGGUGCUCGAGCUUCCAGCUGCUCGGCUCCCAGACUCUGGAACACCCUGCCACUACACAUCCGACAGUCUGAUUCCAUAACAACAUUCAAAACCCAACUCAAAACCCACCUGUUCAAACUGGCAUUUUCUCUAUAAUCUGUACCCUGUGUCUUUUUGUAGUCAAUUUCCUGUUGUUUGUCUUGUCUUACCCCGGCUGAUACUUCACUAAAUCCGCUGUUUUAAUUUGUAAGGUAAAAUUGUAAAUGUAAAUUGUAAAUCUGUAACCCUGUAAGGUGUCCUUGGGUGUUAUGAAAGGCGCCCCCCAAAAUAAAUGUAUUAUUAUUAUGUUAACAAUGCUAACAAAGUUGACCAGUUUGGGAAGUAUUUAAUCACUUUUUCAAAUAGUACGUUGUAUUUGUCAUCAUGGUGCGUGUCAUUAAACAGAAUCUCUUCCAGGA
Gymnodraco acuticeps is the source of this 1545-nucleotide long non-coding RNA. RefSeq lists it as uncharacterized. The record is from RefSeq and is a predicted model, not a curated record. The transcript is spliced from 2 exons. NCBI's taxonomy places the organism in Eukaryota, Metazoa, Chordata, Actinopteri, Perciformes, Bathydraconidae.